This is a transfer RNA of Gonapodya prolifera JEL478, 82 nucleotides long. It matches the Rfam family "tRNA". From Rfam's summary of the family: Transfer RNA (tRNA) molecules are approximately 80 nucleotides in length. Their secondary structure includes four short double-helical elements and three loops (D, anti-codon, and T loops). NCBI's taxonomy places the organism in Eukaryota, Fungi, Monoblepharomycota, Monoblepharidomycetes, Monoblepharidales, Gonapodyaceae. The record is from Rfam.
GGGAGUGUGGCCGAGUGGUCUAAGGCGCUACGUUCAGGCCGUAGUCUAUUCGUAGGCGUGGGUUCGAAUCCCACCGCUCUCA